Molecule: long non-coding RNA, 664 nt
Organism: Bos taurus (domestic cattle)
Lineage: Eukaryota; Metazoa; Chordata; Mammalia; Artiodactyla; Bovidae
Source: Ensembl
CGCAAAGGCUGGGUCUUUGGCUUAUAAAAGAGGUCGGCAGGUCUGAGACCUUACUUCCUGGCUAGAGAAGCAAUGAAAUCCUGCUUUUUCCAGGAGGCAUGCAGGAUAUUCCCAACUUGGGAUCGAACCCACGUCUCCUGCAAUGAAAGUACAGAGGCGUAACCACCGAGAAUCCCACCCCGACUCGCCCAGCCUAGUGUAUUCUCUUCUGGUAGCUGACCUUUUGUGUCCCCAAAGGGUUUUGUCUGUAAUUUGCCGUGUUGAAUAUGCUGCUGCAAAGUCGCUUCAGUCGUGUCCUACUCUGUGCGACCCUGUAGAUGGCAGCCCACCAGGCUCCCCCGUCCCUUGCUCAAUUAAAAGCUCUGCGUAUCAUAAUUUUAUUCAAUUAUCAUAAUUGUUAAUGUCAAAUGUUAUGUCAUAAAUGUUAAUAAAACAAAUUUUAAUGUCAUAAAUAUUAAUAAAACAGUAUACCUAUAUUGUGUCCUGUUUAUUUUUCCAGUCAUUUAUUUCCAAAGUUGGUCCUUGAACACUAUGAGGAGUUUCUGGGGGCUUGCUGGAAAGUGGGACUAUCUCAGUGGGUGCCUCCAGGGGUCUCUGGGUCCCUAGACCAUUCUUAAGGGUGCAGCUUCGAUCCCUAGUGGGGAAAACAUUAAUUCCUCAUAGG